CCCUUAGAUGUUCUGGGCCGCACGCGCGCUACACUGUUCGACGCAGCGAGUCUUAACCUUGACCGAAAGGUUUGGGUAAUCUUCAGCAAAGUCGAACGUGAUGGGGAUCGAUCAUUGCAAAUAUUAAUCUUGAACGAGGAAUUCCUAGUAAGCGCAAGUCAACAGCUUGCGUUGAUUACGUCCCUGCCCUUUGUACACACCGCCCGUCGCUACUACUGAUUGGAUGUUUAAGCGAGGUUCUCGAACUGCUAGCGACUUAGCUUCGGUGAGGUCGCAGUGUGGGAAGUGAACCUAGCUUUGGUGUCUAGAGGAAGUAAAAGUCGUAACA
Molecule: ribosomal RNA, 328 nt
Filed under: uncultured eukaryote
Lineage: Eukaryota
Description: partial 18S ribosomal RNA
Rfam family: Eukaryotic small subunit ribosomal RNA
Source: RNAcentral